UAUCGUUACAGUUAGCUUGAAGUUGC
This 26-nucleotide small RNA is filed under the name Bombyx mori (domestic silkworm). RNAcentral's name for it is "ovarian small RNA-23723". The record is from RNAcentral. Lineage: Eukaryota; Metazoa; Arthropoda; Insecta; Lepidoptera; Bombycidae.